This is a long non-coding RNA of Homo sapiens (human), 1427 nucleotides long. The record is from Ensembl. NCBI's taxonomy places the organism in Eukaryota, Metazoa, Chordata, Mammalia, Primates, Hominidae.
AGUGUAGGCAGGGACAGGCAGGAGAGUCACAUUACCUGGGUGCUUGGCCCAGUGGUAUGUCACAAUCCCUUAUGUAGGGAGGGCACAGGUAGCAAAAGACUGUCACAUCAUCUAGUUGCUGGACUAGAGCUAUUGGUCUCUCGGUCGUUCAGGGAGAGGGUUAGGAUCUCCUUAGACAUCCAUGUAACAGAGCCCCAACUCAUCCGUGCUCAGAAGCAAAGGCCAGUGGAGACCAAAUAAGGCUUGAAAGCAUACUUUUGAUCAUCGUCCCUGUCGUCACAAUGGGGCGCCUGACACCAAGGAGACCCUGGAAACCCACUGAACUCAGGCCCUGCAGGGGUCAGGUGAACAUGUAGGAAGUCCAGGAGAAAAGUCAUCUGCCGUCUCCAGAAUGAACAGCAUUCCAGGAAGAACUCCCCCACACUCCAGGAAGAAGUCAUGAGCCCAGUGGGGAGGCAGGUCCAGCCUGCAACAACUUAGACAUAUGCGGUGCUCCAUAGCUCAUGCUUGUGUCCUGCAGGCAGGAGCACACAUCAGGGUCCGCAGUCUUUGUUCUGGGUGUGGAAUUAGUGCUUCAGCUGGUUCCCCAGGUGUCCCCAGAGGGGGAAAGGGUGGAAAAGGUAAGAAUCUUCAGCACAGCAGAUCGCCUUGCCCUGGCAGCGACCAGCCCUGCCCCUGAGGGGCACCAGCAGCCCCCAACUAGAGGCAGUCAUGUCAGGCCUCCUCCCUACAGCAACUCUCCUGCCUUUUUUUUUCUUUUUUUCACCGCCCUAACCCCCUACUUUUGGUCAUCCUCCUUGUCACAAUGGGGCACCUGCACUGUAGAGACUCUAGAAACACGCAGAUCUGGGGUCCUGCAGCGUCCAGGCUAACAUGCCAGGAAUCAGAGAGAAAAGUCCUCUGAAGCCUCCAGAAGGAAGGGAACAGGACCCGUCACUGCAGGAAGAAGUGGGGCACCCAGUGGCAGAUGGAGGCCCCACGCACUGCAGAGGUAAAUGUGUAAGGCGCUCCCUGGCCCGCGCCUGUUUCCUGGAUGCUGGAGUCCGUGACCAGGCCUGGGGUGGCCCUUCCACACACAGAAUAAGCUGUUGGGCUGGCUGCCUCACCCAGCACCCGGGCCGCGCCAGAGAGUAUCUCAGAUGCUGCUUUCCUGCCACCUCAGCGACCCCAGUAACACUUCUCCCACAGGGACUCCGCCGUGCCCAGCUCUCCAGCCUGGGGAUUCUCAUCACCCAGUGAUUCCAAAAGAAACGAUCUACAAUGUUAUGACCAAAUGCCAGAAACAAACAAACAAAAUAUCUGAGGGCAGUCCAUUGGUCACUUCCAUUUUUCAAAGGUGACAAUUGUCCCUCCUUGAAAUCUUGAGAGUGCAUGAACAGGCUAUUCUAAUAGAUGUGCAAUUUGCACUAAAACUGAUUGAAGAGCAA